AGAGAUAGUUAAGGUGGCGUUCUCCUAGCAACCGCCGCUUGGGAAAUUAAAAUAGAAACUCCGCAGCGGUUUUUCAUUGAACCAGACUUGAGACGGUCUAAAUAACUCGCCCGUCAACUUUCAUAUGAGAUGUUAAAAGCCAAAUACUCUCAAGACGUACUCCUGCAUUCGCUUGCCUCCCGCGUUCAACAAUAUUUUGUUGCAGAGAAACCAAAGAAUAGUUUUGACGAAGAAGGGAAGGAUCUCUCUCUCUCUUAAAAUCUUCUUCUCAAUAGUUACAGCGAUGAAGGGCAUCAUCAUCAUCUUCUCUCAUUUUAGGGCAUAGACCGGUGAAGGAAGACAGACAUAGUAAUUUAGUCGCAGGUAUUCGUUACAGGAGCUUGGUCUUGUUUUCAAGUUUGUGAAGAUGGUCCCUGUUUCACCAUUGAAGACAACACAGGGUCAUCCUAUUGCAAGAGCAUUUCUGUUCAAAUGAUUUUAGGGUUAGGGUCUUGGAUUUUGGGGGUUCCAUUGACCAAUAGAAUGCGUGAUAUCUAUUUGAAACUGCAAUUUUGUUGUUUUUUAAGAGGAUUCAUUGAACCGAUGAAAAUCAUCUCACCUUCGUUCUAUUGUUGUUUAAAGACCUCUUGCAUAUCUCCAUUACCUACGGAUUCUUUGUUGGCCUCUAGGGAGCUACUGACAGUAAUCACGACAACCAUUUUAGCCAGUAUGAGUAAUGUACUCAUAUUGCUAAUCCAAGUUUGGAUUCCCCAUUUCAUUUUCCAUUCUUCUCAUUUUUAUCUUAUUUUAUUUUGUAUAGUUAUUUUUUGGUUUAGCCUCUGCUUAACCUUGUUUUAAUGAUAAUCAAUGACAAUGAAUUGCAUCCUGUUGAACCCUGAUUCGGUUUUGUCAAUUUAGCCUCUGCUUAACCUAGUUUUAAUGGUAAUCAAUGGCAAUGACUUGCACCCUAUUUAACCCUGAUUCAAUUUUGUUAAUCACAUGAUAAUUAUCUGUUUUUUUUGUGUUUAAUCUAAAUGAAAUUAGUUAGUACUGUUAUUUUUUUGGGAAUUUUUUGAGAACUUUGAGAAGUUUUUUGCAAUCUAAUGGAAGUGGACAUCCUUAUUUAAUAUCAUCUGGGACAGUCUGAUUUAAGAAGAUUGAGAUAAUAGAUUUCUUCUUUGGUAGCUUCUACUUCUAAGUGGCUUGCAAUCUAGCAUUCAUUUACUUAUGAAUUUAGAAAUGUUUAAUGGAUGUUUAUCAAUAGAUUCCAAUCCAAAAUUUUCAACAAUGAUCAAAUUUGAAACACUUCUUGAUCAACAACCUAGACCCCCAUAUUAGAUACUUUUUGACGUGUCUAUCUUAUUUGUUGUUGCUUCCUAUGGUCAGUCUCUUCCAUCAUGAAGUUAUAGGUCUUUAGAGUGUCAACUCUCUCGGUAGUAAGUUGUAAAAUCCAAUAUCAAGUUGCAAAGAGUGGCUUUGAGGUGAGAUGUUAGCUAUGAUUUCUAAGUCAGGUGCUUUAUUAUUCUUAGGGGCUAUAGAUAUGCUGAUUUUAAUGGUAUUGUAGAGGUUUUCCAAAUGACUUUUGGUAGUUUGAGGCGAUAUGUUUGACUUAUCCAUAAACCCAUGAGAUAUAUUUGCAACCCAUUGCAAUCAAUAGUUUUUCAGCUUCGAUAUGGGUUAUAAUCAUUUUUAUAUUGUUUUGAAUAUAUCCUUUGAUGAUUUUGGCAUUUCUUGCCACUCAAUUUGAUUAAAGGUUACAUUAUGAGGGCACUUGGGUGCUUGAAGAUCUUGACUUUUGUUUGGGAAUUGGACCCACUAUUAUAGGGUAAAUUUAGGUUGGAUUUUUUAUUUGAUUUAGAGACUUGAACUCAAUUGAUAAUUCACAAUCUAUUUUAUCUAAAAGAAUGUGACCCACACCAAGAUAUUGAAAACUUUUCUGCUGGAUAUUUUUUUUUUUGUCUUAGUUAGGAUAUUAAAUUGGAUUAGAUUUGUUAGCGAGAGAUAUAACUUAUGAGGUAGCUUUGUAAUCUGGAUUAAAAUUUAUUUGUUUCUUAGGCUUAGUUUGGAAGGAGUACAAAUACAUAUAUGCAAAGUGUAAAACCUUGUAUUUUGUAUAUAUUUGUAUUGUACAUAUUUGUAUAUGUGCUCUUUCCAAACCGAGCCUUAAAGUUUUGGCUCAUCGAAGAAAAAACUAGCUCAAUUAUACUUUGCAUGAAAAUUUUGAAGGAUUAUCAUUUGCUGGUGCUAGCCAUAUUUCUUAGUAAGACAAGUUCUACCUUCUAUAAAUCUUGCUUUAGUACUGAUAAUGUAUGCUCUGUAGCUGAGAAGAAUGCUACAAUGAGCAUGGGUGUUGGAUGGGAAUGAUUUGAGUUCAACAAGGAUGCCCCACUUGAUGAGGAAAUUGAAGGAAUGCUCGUAUAAUAUAGAUUCUUUAUCACUCAAAGGCAACAA
This is a long non-coding RNA of Nelumbo nucifera (sacred lotus), 2430 nucleotides long. RefSeq lists it as uncharacterized. The record is from RefSeq and is a predicted model, not a curated record. Lineage: Eukaryota; Viridiplantae; Streptophyta; Magnoliopsida; Proteales; Nelumbonaceae.